This 251-nucleotide ribosomal RNA is filed under the name uncultured prokaryote. Its description in RNAcentral is "partial 16S rRNA". It matches the Rfam family "Bacterial small subunit ribosomal RNA", at positions 525 to 775 of the family's 1533-position model. The record is from RNAcentral.
ACGGAGGGUCCAAGCGUUAUCCGGAUUUAUUGGGUUUAAAGGGUGCGUAGGCGGGCUUUUAAGUCAGUGGUGAAAGGUUGACGCUCAACGUUAACAUUGCCAUUGAAACUGAAGGUCUUGAGUACAAAUGAGGUAGGCGGAAUGUGUUGUGUAGCGGUGAAAUGCUUAGAUAUGACACAGAACACCAAUUGCGAAGGCAGCUUACUGGAAUGUAACUGACGCUGAGGCACGAAAGCGUGGGGAUCAAACAG